Molecule: transfer RNA, 66 nt
Filed under: Lepilemur seali
Lineage: Eukaryota; Metazoa; Chordata; Mammalia; Primates; Lepilemuridae
Description: tRNA-Cys
Source: RNAcentral
AGCUCUGAGGUGGUUAUCACGUUGAAUUGCAAGUUCAAAGAAGCAGCUUCAAUACUGCCGGGGCUU